RNAcentral lists this transfer RNA (73 nucleotides) under Stegodyphus mimosarum. It matches the Rfam family "tRNA". Rfam says of the family: Transfer RNA (tRNA) molecules are approximately 80 nucleotides in length. Their secondary structure includes four short double-helical elements and three loops (D, anti-codon, and T loops). Lineage: Eukaryota; Metazoa; Arthropoda; Arachnida; Araneae; Eresidae. The record is from Rfam by way of RNAcentral.
GCCUUUGUGGUGUAGUGGUCAGCUCGUUCGACACGAAACCGAGAGGUCCGUGGUUCGAUUCCCGGCGAAGGCA